This 253-nucleotide ribosomal RNA is filed under the name uncultured bacterium. RNAcentral's name for it is "partial 16S ribosomal RNA". It matches the Rfam family "Bacterial small subunit ribosomal RNA", at positions 524 to 776 of the family's 1533-position model. The record is from RNAcentral.
UACAGAGGGCUCAAGCGUUGUUCGGAUUCAUUGGGCGUAAAGGGUGCGUAGGCGGCUCGGUAAGUCGGGUGUGAAAUUUCGGAGCUUAACUCCGAAACUGCAUUCGAUACUGCCGUGCUUGAGGACUGGAGAGGAGACUGGAAUUUACGGUGUAGCAGUGAAAUGCGUAGAGAUCGUAAGGAAGACCAGUGGCGAAGGCGGGUCUCUGGACAGUUCCUGACACUGAGGAACGAAGGCCAGGGGAGCAAACGGG